This is a long non-coding RNA of Drosophila montana, 302 nucleotides long. RefSeq lists it as uncharacterized. The transcript is spliced from 2 exons. Lineage: Eukaryota; Metazoa; Arthropoda; Insecta; Diptera; Drosophilidae. The record is from RefSeq and is a predicted model, not a curated record.
AGAAUGCGCCAAUGUCCAAUGUUCAUUUCCCAUGCUUGGCGCAAUUCCAGCAUUAAUUAUUUGCAACCUCUGAAAGCUCUUGAUUUAAUGUCUAAGCCAACUAUUUAACUGCGCUGAACUUGGAGCAGGAUUACAUAUGGUAGGAGAUUAAAGUUGUUAACAGCUGCCAGUUUACGUUGAAUGUCAAGCGCUAUUUGCAAAAGGUUGAGUAAAUUUAUGAAAAAUCAACAAUAAGAGGAACAACAAUAUUUCCCAAGGCUAUCAAAUGCCAACGGCUGGCAACUAAUAAAACGUGCGCUAAA